AGAGUUUGAUCAUGGCUCAGAACGAACGUUGGCGGCGUGCUUAACACAUGCAAGUCGAACGAGAAAGUUUUCUUCGGAGAACGAGUAAAGUGGCGCACGGGUGAGUAACGCGUAAGUAAUCUACCCUUGCAUUCGGGAUAACUACGGGAAGCUGUAGCUAAUACCGGAUACGUUCAUAGAGUUACGACUCUAUGAAGAAAGAUGACCUCUUCUUGAAAGUUAUCGUGCAGGGAGGAGCUUGCGUACCAUUAGCUAGUUGGUAGGGUAAAGGCCUACCAAGGCAACGAUGGUUAGCGGGUCUGAGAGGAUGAUCCGCCACACUGGAACUGAAACACGGACCAGACUCCUACGGGAGGCAGCAGUGAGGAAUAUUGCGCAAUGGGGGAACCCCUGACGCAGCGACGCCGCGUGGAUGAUGAAGGCCUUCGGGUCGUAAAAUCCUGUCAGGUGGGAAGAAAUGCAUGAGGGAACAAUACCCCUUGUGUUUGACGGUACCACCAAAGGAAGCACCGGCUAACUCCGUGCCAGCAGCCGCGGUAAUACGGAGGGUGCAAACGUUGUUCGGAAUUACUGGGCGUAAAGCGCGCGUAGGCGGUUUGUUAAGUCAGAUGUGAAAGUCCACAGCUCAACUGUGGAAGUGCAUUUGAAAC
Molecule: ribosomal RNA, 650 nt
Filed under: uncultured bacterium
Lineage: Bacteria
Description: bacterial SSU rRNA
Rfam family: Bacterial small subunit ribosomal RNA
Source: RNAcentral